This 756-nucleotide ribosomal RNA is filed under the name uncultured bacterium. Its description in RNAcentral is "bacterial SSU rRNA". It matches the Rfam family "Bacterial small subunit ribosomal RNA", at positions 8 to 796 of the family's 1533-position model. The record is from RNAcentral.
AGAGUUUGAUCCUGGCUCAGAAUCAACGCUGGCGGCGUGCCUAACACAUGCAAGUCGAACGAGAAAGUGGAGCAAUCCAUGAGUACAGUGGCGACCGGGUGAGUAACACGUGACCAACCUGCCCUCGAGUGGGGAAUAACCCCGGGAAACCGGGGCUAAUACCGCAUAACAUCGCAAGAUCAAAGCAGCAAUGCGCUUGAGGAGGGGGUCGCGGCUGAUUAGCUAGUUGGUAGGGUAAUGGCCUACCAAGGCGAAGAUCGGUAUCCGGCCUGAGAGGGCGCACGGACACACUGGAACUGAAACACGGUCCAGACUCCUACGGGAGGCAGCAGUGGGGAAUUUUGCGCAAUGGGGGAAACCCUGACGCAGCAACGCCGCGUGGAGGAUGAAGUCCCUUGGGACGUAAACUCCUUUCGACCCGGACGAUACUGACGGUACGGGUGGAAGAAGCACCGGCUAACUCUGUGCCAGCAGCCGCGGUAAUACAGAGGGUGCGAGCGUUGUUCGGAAUUAUUGGGCGUAAAGGGCGCGUAGGCGGCGCGGUAAGUCACCUGUGAAAUCUCCUGGCUCAACUGGGAGCUUGCAGGCGAAACUGCCGUGCUGGAGUGUGGGAGAGGUGCGUGGAAUUCCUGGUGUAGCGGUGAAAUGCGUAGAUAUCAGGAGGAACACCUGUGGCGAAAGCGGCGCACUGGACCACAACUGACGCUGAGGCGCGAAAGCUAGGGGAGCAAACAGGAUUAGAUACCCCGGUAGUCC